Molecule: non-coding RNA, 30 nt
Filed under: Mus musculus (house mouse)
Lineage: Eukaryota; Metazoa; Chordata; Mammalia; Rodentia; Muridae
Source: RNAcentral
UAGAAAGACUGACCUUGUCUCUUUGUCUGG